This 315-nucleotide ribosomal RNA is filed under the name Acinetobacter johnsonii. RNAcentral's name for it is "partial 16S ribosomal RNA". The stretch from base 99 to 315 matches the Rfam family "Bacterial small subunit ribosomal RNA", at positions 561 to 776 of the family's 1533-position model. Lineage: Bacteria; Pseudomonadati; Pseudomonadota; Gammaproteobacteria; Moraxellales; Moraxellaceae. The record is from RNAcentral.
UUUUUUAAAAAAUUUUUUUGGUGUUAAAAAAAACCCCCCUUUCCCCUUUUUAAAGGAAAAAAGUUUGUGCCGCGCCCCCCCCGGGUCCUAGUUUUUUUUAAAGAACGCGCCCGCGGUUUCACUUGUCUCUUUAAAAAGGGGGGGGUCUAACCCCCUGUGAUGGGAAUGACGCUGAGAAGCUUUUUUAUGAGAGAGGAAAGUGGAAUUCCUUGUGUCGCGGUGAAAUGCGUAGAGAUUAGGAAGAACACCGGUAGAGAAGGCGACUUUCUGGACGAAAUCUGUCGCUGACGCGCGAAAGCGUGGGGAGCACACAGG